ACGCGUUCUCCGGCAAGAGUGGUUUCAGCUGUUUUUUUGGACGUGCUAGUAGUUAACUCAUGGGAUAGAAAUACUACCGGGAGUGGUGAGAAACAAGACCUAGAAAGCUCAGAGAAAAGCAGAUGGAGAGUGGAGCUCUUGUCUGUCUUCUCGGCUCCUAACGGCAGCCCCAGAUUCGCAAUGAAGAGCCCCACGCCACAUGAAAUGUGAGCAAGUCCACCCACCUCAUCUACCCUGGCGGCCAGUUCCUCGUUGGACCAGAUCCCUUCUAUCAUAAGCUCCUCCUCAGCACAUGGUUAUUACUGGAAUGCUGGUGGUUUGGGCAACUCUUUUUCUGGUGAGAUGGUGCAGUGGGAAGGUACAUUCCACUUCCAGCGGGCUGUCCCUCGGUGCUGGCUUGGCUUCUUGGGAAAAGAGUGAAGAAUCAGAGCCUACACGCUGCUGCUGAGCUCCACAGCCUCCAUCUUGCCUCCUCCUGUUUAGACGAUGCGGGUCCUAGUUCUGGGAAGCCCUUCCACCGGCAGAUCGCAGAGCCUCUCUGAACUUCAGGCUCCUCAUCUAUAAAAUGGACCUCCCAAGGUGGUGGUUUAGUGCUGUCAGGGACAUGUUGGCAGGAGGACCGUGUGAGCUGUUGUGUCCACAGUAGCCUGGAAAGGCCCUUCCCGCUGAGGCGUAUGGCCCAAUAAAGUAGAGGGGUGAAUUCAAAGCAAGACCUCAAGCAGGGGGUGAAGCGGACAUGAUGUAGAGAAGCUGCUGCUGAUGGCAAUGGGACCAGAAAAGGGGGGCCUAAGGAAGAGAGAACAUGAGAAGCAAAAAGGGCAGCCCCUUAACCUUCAACCUCAGAGGCUCGUGUGGGAGAAACCCAGUCAGGUCUGAGGGGAGAUCUCACAGCAAGGGGGUGGGUGGGACUUGACUCAGAUUGCAGUGGGGAGAAAUUUUAAUGACACCCCCUCCCUAGCAAACCAGCGAUGCAAGAUGGUGCCAGCACAAUAUGGUGCCAGUCAGGAGGUGGUUUGGAAUGGCUGAGGAAGGGAGUCUGGGAAGUGGCUUCAUGCAACGCUGCUCGUUCUAGUGAGAAUGCAGCCAGGUAGUCCUAGGUCCCAGGGGCUGCAGAGCCAAGAUCUGCCUCACCAGCUAUGUGCAGGGACCACGCACUUUGGCUUCACCUCUUCCUGCCCCUACCCCACCAGCAAGCCCCAGGGACCAGAACCAUCUCUGUCCUGCGUGUGUGUGUGUGUGUGUGUGUGUAAGAAUGCAGGGGACUCCACUCAGACCUUCAACCCUCUUGUCCCACCACCAUGAGGCCCAUGAACAUCUCUCUGCACCAGGAAAUUAUCUUGGCUGGGAGAAGGCGGAAGGGUGAGAAAACCUUGGAAUACUGAGCAAUUUUACUCAAAAGAGACUGAGUUAAUCAUACAGAAAUGGAGCUAUGUCUAAGGGGCAAUUUAAUGCUUUCUUUUUGUUUGUUUUCUUUUUGCCCGUCAGUAGUAGGAAUUAUCAGAUCACGAUGAGAAAAGUAUAAGAAAAAGUAAGAACAAUACUGAUUUGACCCAUCUGGGUAGGUGUGUGUGUGUGAUCUUUAGCCCUCCCACAAUUAUGUCUGUACACGUUUGCUGGGGCAACUGUAUAUUUUCAAUUCCAAUCGUCAGACCUUUCCUUGAAGCUCACGUGUGUUUUGAUCUGGCCAGGAAUUGAGAAUCAUAAAAUCAUUAAAUCUGUAUUAAUUACCUAUUGCUGCAUAGUAAGUUAAUCCAAAAUUUAGCUGAAAUAAAUAUGUAUUAUC
Molecule: long non-coding RNA, 1783 nt
Filed under: Sus scrofa (pig)
Lineage: Eukaryota; Metazoa; Chordata; Mammalia; Artiodactyla; Suidae
Description: lncRNA (ENSSSCG00065045883.1)
Source: RNAcentral